Long non-coding RNA from Nomia melanderi (Alkali bee), 3057 nucleotides. RefSeq lists it as uncharacterized. Lineage: Eukaryota; Metazoa; Arthropoda; Insecta; Hymenoptera; Halictidae. The record is from RefSeq and is a predicted model, not a curated record.
UUCUAGUCUGACACUCCGCGAGUUACCGUUCCACUCGGUUCUCCCGAUUCCUCAGAUUGAAUGAGUCUUCGUUCGUGGCGUAUAUAAAGAGGGGAACAGAUCGAAAUCCCCCUUCUGCGCGCGGAAGCUGAACCCUUGCGUACCCAAGGAAAAACCGGCGGUGCCCGAUGGCAAAAGGAAGAAGAACAGGCACGACCGGCAUGGUCGAAAGAAGGAUACAGAAAAGGUACCAUGAAGAAGAAAAAGGGGAAGGAGAAAGGACCCUGACCUCCAUUCAAGAUAAUAUGGAAAUAGCAAACUACAAAAACUUAUGAAAAAAAGGCAGUAAAAGAAAAAUAUUUUAAAGAAAAGCUUUCGUCAUAUAUGAAGUAGUGGCAUAAUGGAUUUUAAAAGCGAGGACGCUGCGUACGCGAGAUCCGAGUAACAUUCAAAAUUAGAAAGUUAUCGAAAACGGGAACGUUUGUGCAUUUGGUUCAGUGCACAAGAAUCUUCGCGUCGCGGCGAGUGAAAUAAAACGAUCCUUUUAAAAGAAAUGCCUGUGAUUCAAUAUUUACAAAUAUCACGUAAAUUAAGUAAUUUCUGAAAAAAAAUUAUACGAGACUACUGCAUUUAAUAGGUGCACCUAAAAAUAUAACCAACAUGCUUUAGACCAGUUUCUAUUUCAUUGGUAUCACAAUAGCUCAAGUCAGGAAAAAUUUGUGAAACCCAUCAGGUAAUAAGACGCGCGGCUGUAACGGCUCUAGUAGGACCUGAAGACGUUAACAAUCAUUGUAUAGCGGGUACAUCAUAAAUCAACAGAAAUAAGCGUCAGGUAGAAAUAAAUGGAACAGUUGAAUUCUACAGAAAUUCGCUUCAAGGCCAAAACGCCAACAUAAAUGUGCGUACCGUAAGCGAAGAAGGAAGUUUAUUCGUGACUUAAAAUUUUGCCGUUAAUCAUGUCAUCUAACUCUAGCAUUCGAAUAUUACCUCAAUGGUGCAAAAAUAAAUUGAAGGAACGAUCACAUCAGAAUGGCAAGAAGGUCCGUGUAUCCUUUGGUAUUUGAGUCUCGAGAGUGAUCGUCGAAAAUUGAAAGAAGACGGCUGUAAUCACCUGCGCGCGUUUCCAGGCCUUCUGCUAAAGAGAAAUCGUCGAGCCGACGUCGAGGUUUAUUAAUAAACGUCGUGGUACACGUGCCCGUCGCCGUGUACCCCUUUGUCGUGACGAGACCGCUGCAAUAGGGGUGAAACAAGAGCAACCGAGAGAAUAAGCAGAUCGUUUUACGAACGCACGAGAUAGUGACGCCGAAACAUUUGGCUAUCGGUUCAGCAAAAUUUCCAGAAUCGAAUUACAAAAUAGUGAAACAUUUCACAUUGUUUCGAUUCCGUAGAGACUCUAUUAACAUGUAAAUAUUAUAACCUCCUGUUGCCGACACUGUUUCGAACGUAAUGAUAAUAAAUUCGUCCGAACUGCUCGUUUUCGACGAAGAACUUUUUUACUCGAUUAUAAUGAACUGCAAUGAACUGGAAUAAUGUACGUUUCCCGAAGACAGCAUGAAUUUUUCGUUGUGUAAUGUAAUGCGUUCUUAAUGACUCCUCGCCUCUCCCGCCGCCCUUUUUAACGAUAUCUCGCUAAAGCGUUUGAACAUCGACCACGCACGGGCGCAAUUGAGCAAUCAAGCUGCAUCAAAAUAUUUGUAUAGAAUUAAUGGAGAUGUUUUGAUACGCACCUAUCAAGUUCCUCAGCACACUGUUACCCGACGCACUUGCAAUAUCGUGGUUAAUCCGAACGAGAAACACCAGGAAGGAAUUCACAUAAGUAACCCCCUCGGCGGCGAGAUAAUAUUUGAUCGUCGGUAAAAUUGACGUCGUGGAUUAAUAAUGCACACGGGGACAACAGCUGCUCGCGUUACAAAUGAAUUUUUUACUUACUAACACGGACAAAUUAAAAACGGUUUCCUAAAUUUGUUACGUAUAAAUCGUGUCUGUGUGUGUAUGUAUGUAUGUUAUGUAUGUAUAGAUAUAAUUAAACGCGAUGCACUGUUGACGACACGUACGUGGUAACUGAUGUCUUUUUACAAUUGGCGAUUUUCCCUGCGCGCACACAUCCGACACGAACGAAGGCCCACGUGCGAGUACCGAACUACCUUUGAGUUACCGUGCCGCACACCAGUUUGCCGGGUUUCUAUAUGAUUUCUCUUCUCAUUGGUCCAUGCUGUCCCCCACCAUAACGUUGUGCCAGUAGUGUAGCGUAACAACGGCAGAACGAGCCACGGGUGACGCGAGCGGUUGAAGAAUCGGCUCACGAUGUGUUGACAAAUCUUCCAACGUUUCACCCCGUAGAAAAAUUUUGGAAUAGUGUUAACUAUCGAUGAAAAGCUUGUGAAUUUAAAAAAAGAUUAAAUUUCUUUUAACUUUAAAUCAUGAUACUGUAUUUAUAUUUCUUUAAAAAGUCCUGUGAAUACUCGAUCUAUCGUGACAGUCUUCUUUGUAUCGUAAAAAAUAUUGAAUAAACAAUACAAUUUCGUCAUUUUAAUUGGUAUAAACUAUUUUCACGUAUUAAAAAGUACUAUCAUCAUUGUCAAAGCGAUAUUCAUUUUAUUUUACUUCGCAAACAGAACAAUGAACUCGGUCCGUUAGCUUUCAAAUAUAUGAAGCCAUUUUGCUUGGUUUCCUUUGAAUAUACUUGUUUCGGUUUUGUUAUAAUUCUGACGACUCCACGACAAAAAUACGACGGUAGUUAACGUGCCGAGGAGAGAUGAGGUGACGGUGCCAGAAAUUUGGAAGCCUUCGAAAGUACUGGUCCGAAACGAUUCUACAGGAUCCAUGAGGCAAGGCGGCGAUCCGUCGAGGAGUAUCAGCUGUUCGAAUUAUUAUCGUUGCACACGACGGCAGAUGUUCACUGGCUUGAAACACUCCCCCGAAGGUUUUGAACCCGCUGAUCUCUUUUCUUUGGAGCGGGUGAAAACUUUCAAGGAAGCCCAACAUCCCGUUCAAUCUCGCACAAUACCAGUACCGGCUAUACUCUUUCCACAAAUACGAGGAACAAAUUAAACAAAGAACCUCAUGAAACGUUUAUUC